CUUCCGACGAACAUAACUUCCUCAUUUUAAAUCGUUUUUCACCCGUUCUUCGAACGGCAUGGACAUCCCGGAUCCAAUUUCAUUUCUAAACAGAUUUGGCACAAAUCAGAGAUCCGUAGUCCAAGUUAUGUCCCGUCAAAGUAUGCCCAAAAACCAUAUUUUCAUACAAAACCACAAAGUGCCAUUUUCAAAACAAGCCACUUUCAACUCUUUUCAAAANN
Molecule: long non-coding RNA, 221 nt
Filed under: Arachis ipaensis
Lineage: Eukaryota; Viridiplantae; Streptophyta; Magnoliopsida; Fabales; Fabaceae
Description: long non-coding RNA (AIPA_LNC000322)
Source: RNAcentral